This 492-nucleotide ribosomal RNA is filed under the name Mamianiella coryli. RNAcentral's name for it is "eukaryotic LSU rRNA". The stretch from base 186 to 339 matches the Rfam family "5.8S ribosomal RNA". The record is from RNAcentral. Lineage: Eukaryota; Fungi; Ascomycota; Sordariomycetes; Diaporthales; Gnomoniaceae.
UCAUUGCUGGAGCAAACGCCCCCAGGGGCGCUACCCAGACACCCUGUGUGAAUUUUCCACUGUUGCCUCGGCAUUGCUGCCCCCGAAUGGGGGCCCUCUCUCCUCUGGAGAGUGGAGCCAGCCGGCCGGAGGCCCUCAUAAACGCUUGUACUGUACCACUCUGAGCAACAACCAAAAUGAAUCAAAACUUUCAACAACGGAUCUCUUGGUUCUGGCAUCGAUGAAGAACGCAGCGAAAUGCGAUACGUAAUGUGAAUUGCAGAAUUCAGUGAACCAUCGAAUCUUUGAACGCACAUUGCGCCCGGCGGUAUUCCGCUGGGCAUGCCUGUUCGAGCGUCAUUUCACCCCUCAAAGCCCGGCUUUGGUGUUGGAGGAGCAGCUCCGGCUGCCCUCCCAAAUGCAGUGGCGGGCUCGCCAGCCUUCUGAGCGUAGUAAUCUUUGCCUCGCUUGGGAAGGCUAGCGGGCGUUGCCAGCAAAACACACACUCCAAGA